Balaenoptera acutorostrata (minke whale) is the source of this 1538-nucleotide long non-coding RNA. RefSeq lists it as uncharacterized. Lineage: Eukaryota; Metazoa; Chordata; Mammalia; Artiodactyla; Balaenopteridae. The record is from RefSeq and is a predicted model, not a curated record. The transcript is spliced from 3 exons.
GCCCGAGACUGCUGACUGCCUUCCAGGCUCCGCGGAGCCUGUCCCAAGUUUCUGCCUCCUCUUCCCGGCCGCCGCCCCUCCCCACCCGAGCGCCGAGCGCUGAGCGCUGGUCUCGGGCUGGUUACUCACUGCGCGGCGGGCACAUGCUGAGCGGCGCUGCGGGGGCACCGAACCGAGCGGCCAGCUGGAAGCAGACGGGUGCACGCGGCAGGAACCACAAACCCUAGACUCUAUAGAAGGAAACCUUCAUCAGAUUUCUUGAUGAACAAAGUCUAUUGAACCAGGCAAGCUUCCUGCUGAAGAGAGAGGACAGUCAUAAUGCUGAGAGCCAAGAAGAACCAGUGAAUGAUAUGCUGAAAAGCUCAGAAGGUACCAGAGGAGAUUCAUAUUCAAGUCCCAUCUCGUGUUCUCCAAACUUACUCUCUAUGACGCCUUUCGAGAUCAAACCGAGUCUCCGUGAAAUCAUCUUACACCAGAGGGACAGACCAUUGCUACUUUAGGAAGAUGGCGAUGCAGCGGUAUCCCCUGCUCUUUACCACGGCAGCCAACCUCCUUUCCACAUCAGCUGUCCAAGACCCAGUCCAGUUAGUUCAAACCCAUCUUCUCACCAAAUUCCUAGGCUCCUACAGAUUCACGGACACCUCAACAGCGGUGUCUGGUCUGUGCUUUUGUCUGAGACUCUAACUGAACUCUAGGAUGGCCUGUUGGAAAAAAGCAUCCCUAUAUGGUUUGAUUGAAUCUUAUUUGGGAGAAUUUGUUUUUGUUUUUCAACCACACACAAGUACAGCUUGUUGAUGCUUUCCAAUGGGCAAUGGAAAAGUCAAGAUUUGGGUCAGCUGGCAUGCAUGCCCAGUCCAAGCCAUGGCCAUCCCCACCAGGCUUCUGGCCCCUGAUGUGGUCUCCCUGCCACCACUGCUCACUCCACACAGCACCGGAAAUCACUGAUGGCUUCUCGUCACACAUAGAAUAAAGCCCAAGCCCCUAACCCUGGCCUAUGAGGCCUCCAUGAUGUGGCCCUGCCUGGCUUUCCUAACUAAUUUUGUACCACCCUCCCCUUGCCCAUCACUUUCCAGCCCUCGUUUCCUUUUGGUUUUUUGAACAUAUUAAGCUUACUUCUACCUUCAGUCUUGUUCCUUUUUGCCUGGAAUGACCCCAACGCCCUAUCAUUACCUUUCCAGCUCCUUCUGGUCAUUUCCAUUUCUUAUUAAAAAUCACUUCUCCCGAAAAUCCUUCCCUGACCACCCAAUCUGAAUUAGUAGCUCAAGCACAUAACUUGGUUUUACUUUCAUCUUAUUACUUCCUGAUAUUUCCUUGUUUAUUCAAUCUGUUUUACUGUCUGGCUUUCCCCUACCAAACUGUAAGCUCCAAAGGCAGGAACGUUAUACGUAGAACACUGGCUGGCACUAACAGACACUCAGUGUUUGUUGAAUGAGAAAAUGAAUGAAUAAAUGCCUUUGCUUUCAUUUGGAUCAGUCAUUUUUGAAAAAUAUGUUGGUUUCUUUCCAUCUGAAUUGAUUCAGUCAUUUUGUAAAAACAAA